Molecule: long non-coding RNA, 565 nt
Organism: Leopardus geoffroyi (Geoffroy's cat)
Lineage: Eukaryota; Metazoa; Chordata; Mammalia; Carnivora; Felidae
Exons: 2
Source: RefSeq, a predicted model, not a curated record
AGUCGCGCCCGCCUCACGCCCCCAGGAAGAGCGCCGAGCGGCGGCGGAGUCGGCCAAUCCGGAGCCAGUCCUCGGGGGGCCGGUCACCAGAGCCAAUGAAGUGGCAGGAGUGGGGCGGGGCCUCUGGCCUGCCGGGUAGGCGGAGGAAGACUCCAUUCCUCCCGGAGCUGAACUGGGCGGGUCUGGGCGUUGGCGGGCGGUACCCGCCGGGGCGGAUUUCUUGGUUGGGUCGUUGAAAUAGGAGUCAGCGUCCCCUGAGGAACCUGUCAGUCAGAGCAGCACCUCUGGAUUUCCUCCCGGGACGUUGAAUCCUCUCACACUCGGUAAUGACCUUAGGUCUCGGGAGGGUCUGGUGAGCAGAGCGGCAAGCCGCGCAAAGACGCGGCUUUAAAAGCAAGGUUUUAUUGAAAACACUUGAACCAACGGUUCUCAAAUCCCAGCUGCUCUUUUAGAGCGACGUUCAAAAUAACCAAAUCCGAACACAAUGAGGGAAUUCAGAUGAGCCCUUGGAGUUGACUUUAUUUAGAGAAAAUUGAGGUUGUAAAAUAAAGUAUCGGUUUCUUCA